CAAGCCAUAAGCGUUCAAUUGUGUGGGGUCAAUUCGCAAACAAACUUGGGAUUUUCUUGUAAUUUAUAAUUCGGAGUUUAUGCCAGUUAUGACAGAUCAGUGAUUGUGAACAAUCACUCCAAAAACUGCAUCGACUUUGUGGUCAGAUCAACUCAGGCCGACUACAUCAGUAUUGAGAAGAAAGAUGGGUGCUACUCUUCUCUUGGCAGAACUGGUGGCAAGCAGGUGGUCUCGUUCAACACAGCAUCGAUCAGCAUGAGCUCAGUGAUGCCCUGGGCUUCUACCAUGAGCAAACCAGGAGAAGUUGUGACCAGUACGUCAAGAUCAUCAAGAUCAUAAAUGCAACAUUUUCUCAUGAGAGCCAGAUUCAUAUUAAAGAGGACAAGAUUUUAUUAGUCAUCUUUUUCUCAUCGUUCAUUAUUUUAAAAAAUCCAAUUAAAUAACUAAAAGAAAAUAUAGAUUUUAAUUUUUUCGAUAAAAGCCUAAAUGUUGUUAUUUUAGGUUUCUGUUAUAGUUUCAAUGGUAGAUACCAGAUAGAUAUAGUAAGCACAAGUACAUUAUGUGUACAUUUUCAUUAUUAAACAUUGUGUUGGAGAGAAGUCGUCUUCCAUCACUGUUUUUAUUAUGUUCUUAUUGCUCUUAUGCAUUUUAUAAUAUUUACAUAGGGCUUGCUGGUUGAUGGCAGGGUCUUAAAGUAGCUUAAAUUAGAAGGGGAGCUCUAAUUUUAGCUAAAUUUAUGGAAAUGUUUGUGAAAAAUUAUGUAAAAUUAUUUUUUACACACUCACACCGAGAGUAUGGAAAAUGGA
Long non-coding RNA from Carassius gibelio (silver crucian carp), 806 nucleotides. RefSeq lists it as uncharacterized. The record is from RefSeq and is a predicted model, not a curated record. The transcript has 3 exons. Lineage: Eukaryota; Metazoa; Chordata; Actinopteri; Cypriniformes; Cyprinidae.